CCCAAACCCAAAUCUAAUUCAAUCAAUGGCGAAACGCAAGAAGAUCAUAAUCUACACAGAUCCGGCAUUGGUAUAUACUAGUGAUGCGAUGGCGAUAUUUGUGGCGCUCCAAUAACCGGAAUUCGAAGUGAUUGGACUCACUGCUAUUUACGGCAAUGUCUACACUGCACUCGCCACCGGAAAUGCUUUACUCUUGGCAAAAAUUGUUGCCUCUCUCUUCAACAAAAUUUUAGUUUUUGAGACAUUGUAUAUGUUGAAAUUGAAAAUAAAAUGUAAUUAGUUAGAUUGAUUAGUGUAAUUAGUUAGGUAGAUUAGUUGGUUUUUUUGUUAUUUUACCUAGUCAACUUUUCCAAAAGGUAGUCCAUAAAAGAUAUUUUCUCGUUUUCUCUUUUCUCUCCCAUUAUUGGCGAUAUUUUCUCGUUCUCUCUUUUCUCUCCCAUAAUCGGCCGUUUCUGCAUUUCUUUAUGCUCUUCAAUGGAGGUUUCUCCAUCCAAUUCAAUCACCAUUUUCAACAUAUGAUUUGAAGAUUGUUCAGUGAUUAUAGUUGUUUCACUUUUGCUUAAUAAUUGAUACGGAGUACGUGGUAGAGAGACUUAUCUUUCUAAAAAUUGAGAUUCAAUUAGAGUUUUCCAUCUGGAUUUAGCUGAUAGUGAAUUGUGAAGGCUUUAUUAGUUUAUUGUUUCAUAUCCAUGAGCCUAUUAUAUUGGUUAAGUUUGCAAAUUUGAAUGUGCGCGAUUGUGAUGAUUCUUUUUGGUGGUGACUGAAUCAGGGGUUAGAUCUUAUCAUAUUUAGUGCUAUUCAUUACCCUAGGUUUGCAGUAUUGAGUACUUUGAUAAAUAUUGGGUGUUCCUUUUCUAAGUGAGAGUCAAUUGUAUAGUUGGCAAUCAAUGAGGUUUGCAGAUUAUUGAGUAUUUUAAUAAAUAUCGGGGGUUCCUUUUCUAAGUGAGAGUCGAUUGUACAGUUGGAGAUUGCCGGGAGGCCGGACAUUCCUGUGGCUGAAGGAUCUCAUGUGACCAUUACUGUGUAUAAUGAUACCAUUUGCCAUUAAUUGUUUCUGUUUUUGACUUAAUCAGAGCUCAUGUUCUUGUGUAAACUAUCAGUUCUUGCGUCUCAUUACCAUCCAAUAUCUGUCAUUUUCCGUAAUACAUACAAUGUUUGCAGAAAUUCUGACUUGAUUGUCAAUUCUAUAUGCAUAACUUGUACUGUUGAAGUCUUAUGAUCGAUAAUUUGAACUCAUUUGCUGAUUUAAUGGAGGGCAGGCAAUUGAGUUAAAAAGUCUCUUCCUAUUUACGGCAAUGUCUACACCGCACUAACCACCAGAAAUGCUGUACACUUGGUGGCUUGUUGUCUUUCUCUCCUUCUCGAAAUUUUAGUUUUCAGCUCUUGCGAAAAUGUAAAGGAAAUGCUUGAUAACACUUUUAAUUUUAUUAUUUGAAGAUUGUUAAAGAUUAUACUAGUAGUUGUUUCACUUUUGCUUACUAAUAUGUCAAAAGCAUGUGGCAGAAGAGACUUAUCUUUGUUGAAAUUUGAGAUUCAGUUAGAGUUUCCAUUUGAUUUAGCUGAUUGUUAAGUUGCAAAGUUUGAAUGUGCACAAUUAUGAUGAUUCAUUUUGGUGUUGACUGAAGCGGUGCCUGUAUCUUACGAAUCAUAUUUUGUGUUAUUCAUUAGCUAAGGUUUGCAGAUUGUUGAGUAUUUUGAUAAAUAUUUCUAAGUGAGAGUCUAUUGUAUAGUUGGAGAUUGCUGGGAGGACAGAUAUUCAAGUAUAGUUAGUUAAAAUAAAUUAAUAUGAUUCAAAAGGCAAUCUUUGAUUGGAGGCUCUGUCAUCAGAAGUAUACCUAUUUUCUCAUCAAAACCAAUUGAACCAUCUGAUGCAGUAGCCAAGAACAUCGCCUUUGUUAUGAACCUUUGGAUCUGCAUGGUUCUGAUGAAGUAUCUAUCUGAAGUUUUGGUUAUGUAGGACCAUUUUCCGUCACUAUGUCAUUGAUAGCUUACUUUGCCAUUUGAUAAAUCUUUCCCAAAGUGGCUUAAACACCACCUCAUUCUAGCCAGCUUUUUAGCUUGGGUAAGUGUUGGCUUAAUGGCAUUGCUUUGAAACUAAGUUUUUACUAACCUCGAGUUUAGAAGCCGGACAGACAAUGCUCUUACCCUGUUUCUGUCAAUUCUCAGCUUAUCUUUAUGUUUGUAAUUGUAUCCACUAACUCUUCCUUGUAUAUUGCAGCUUGCCCCUUUUGCUAUCUGUUGGAGUGCAAUCUGAAAGUCUCAUCUGCCUCUUUUUGAACUCCAUGACGAACGGGAACUGUGCAACAAAGUUCUUUUUUUGGAUGUUAAACCUCAUCCCUGUUUGCUCGGCUCCAUCUCUGUUCUAUAAUAGUUGCCCUAUGAUGAAAACUCUCGGACGUGAAAUUAGUUUAAUACCUACUAUUUACAUUGGGAGGUGAAAAUGAUUGGAAUUUUAUAUUUACUCAAAGUUCCCGUCCUUUAAUGCUUAUUAAUUAAAACUUUAGUCAUUCCUUGUUAA
Molecule: long non-coding RNA, 2518 nt
Organism: Salvia splendens (bonfire salvia)
Lineage: Eukaryota; Viridiplantae; Streptophyta; Magnoliopsida; Lamiales; Lamiaceae
Exons: 2
Source: RefSeq, a predicted model, not a curated record